Bos taurus (domestic cattle) is the source of this 73-nucleotide non-coding RNA. NCBI's taxonomy places the organism in Eukaryota, Metazoa, Chordata, Mammalia, Artiodactyla, Bovidae. The record is from Rfam.
UCCCUGGUGGUCCAGUGGCUAAGACUCUGUGCUCCAAAAGCAGGGGGCCUGGGUUCAAUCCCUGGGCAGGGAA